RNAcentral lists this long non-coding RNA (735 nucleotides) under Mytilus galloprovincialis (Mediterranean mussel). Lineage: Eukaryota; Metazoa; Mollusca; Bivalvia; Mytilida; Mytilidae. The record is from RNAcentral.
CUUGACCUUGACCUUUGACCUUGACCUCAUUUUCUAAGUUAGGACCUAGGGGCCUCAAAUAAAAACAUUCCAGGGUUAUACGGUUAACUGUUUAUGAGUUAAAAAAACAUACUGACAAAUUUAUUUUGUAAAGGUAGAUAACUCCUAUAAAAUGUCAUCGAAUCGCUUCGAUCCAAAUUAGCCAACAAUUUCUGAGGAUGCAACGAACAAUUUGUAAAAGGAAAUUUGUCGCUAUCUUUUUUGGUUACGAAGGAGAUGCACACAGAUGAUAAACAGUGAAUAGGGAGAUAACUCUUACAAAGAAAAUGGUUCGCCUUAGCAGGGUGAAAUUUAAAAGCGCAUAAACUAUACGAUACCAUAUGAGAAAUAUCUAAGUGACAUAUUGCGAAACAAACAUUUAUCGCAAGAACAAAAUUUGGCGGAAGAAAAAAAAAAUGAUAAUAAUAAUCAGAAGAAAAACAAUAAAUCUUUCCACAGAAAAGUGGAAAGACUUAAUAAUAAGAAACGGGACAAAAACAAUAAGUCGCCAAAAACUCCGUUUUGGUGACUUAAAAAGAGAAGAAAAACGUAUGUAUAUUGGUUAGUUCGUUUUACUUCUAGACAGCCUUUUAAUCUUAUACACUGUUUUAUUAUUUUUUUUAGUGUUUCCGCUGAAUGAAAAAUAUUUAACUUAACCCCCCCCCUUUUUCCCAAAAACAAACAACACCAAAAAACGAAAAACAAUAUAAAUUCCAC